GCAAUACUUUAGCGUGUACAUAUCAGAUAUGCCAUUACUAGGGAAGACAAAAAUAUGCACAAAUAACUUAAUUAUAUGAUCAUUAAAAUUACUCCAAUAUAUUAAAA
Long non-coding RNA from Rhagoletis zephyria (snowberry fruit fly), 107 nucleotides. RefSeq lists it as uncharacterized. Lineage: Eukaryota; Metazoa; Arthropoda; Insecta; Diptera; Tephritidae. The record is from RefSeq and is a predicted model, not a curated record.